RNAcentral lists this transfer RNA (87 nucleotides) under Propionivibrio dicarboxylicus. RNAcentral's name for it is "tRNA_Leu_CAG". It matches the Rfam family "tRNA". From Rfam's summary of the family: Transfer RNA (tRNA) molecules are approximately 80 nucleotides in length. Their secondary structure includes four short double-helical elements and three loops (D, anti-codon, and T loops). Lineage: Bacteria; Pseudomonadati; Pseudomonadota; Betaproteobacteria; Rhodocyclales; Rhodocyclaceae. RNAcentral also lists the same sequence under 7 other names. The record is from RNAcentral.
GCCCAGGUGGCGAAAUUGGUAGACGCGCUAGGUUCAGGUCCUAGUGGUGGCAACACUGUGGGGGUUCGAGUCCCUUCCUGGGCACCA